GUGAAUCAGUUUAUUCAUUCCGGUUGGACCAAAACAAAAGAAAGAAAUUUCGAGUCCUGAUCAACAAUGCCACUGAACCGGAAAUUUGAAUCCGGCGUGCCAUCUUUUGAUCUGCAUGCCACUCUUGUAGUGGAUAAUAUCUAUUUACCUUUAAUGAAUUAUAUCAAUU
This 169-nucleotide small RNA is filed under the name Arabidopsis thaliana (thale cress). RNAcentral describes it as "ATSL174180". Lineage: Eukaryota; Viridiplantae; Streptophyta; Magnoliopsida; Brassicales; Brassicaceae. The record is from RNAcentral.